RNAcentral lists this ribosomal RNA (482 nucleotides) under uncultured bacterium. RNAcentral's name for it is "partial 16S ribosomal RNA". It matches the Rfam family "Bacterial small subunit ribosomal RNA", at positions 28 to 523 of the family's 1533-position model. The record is from RNAcentral.
GACGAACGCUGGCGGCGUGCUUAACACAUGCAAGUCGAACGAUGAAACCUAGCUUGCUAGGUCGAUUAGUGGCGAACGGGUGAGUAACACGUGACUAACCUGCCCCUUUCUCUGGGAUAACGCUCCGAAAGGAGUGCUAAUACCGGAUACUCACAUCGAGGCACAUGCCUUGAUGUGGAAAGUUUUUCGGAAAGGGAUGGAGUCGCGGCCUAUCAGCUUGUUGGUGAGGUAACGGCUCACCAAGGCGACGACGGGUAGCCGGCCUGAGAGGGGGACCGGCCACACUGGGACUGAGACACGGCCCAGACUCCUACGGGAGGCAGCAGUGGGGAAUAUUGCACAAUGGGCGCAAGCCUGAUGCAGCGACGCCGCGUGAGGGAUGAAGGUCUUCGGAUUGUAAACCUCUUUCAGUAGGGACGAAGCGAAAGUGACGGUACCUAAAGAAGAAGCACCGGCUAACUACGUGCCAGCAGCCGCCGUAA